RNAcentral lists this ribosomal RNA (490 nucleotides) under uncultured bacterium. RNAcentral's name for it is "partial 16S ribosomal RNA". It matches the Rfam family "Bacterial small subunit ribosomal RNA", at positions 355 to 860 of the family's 1533-position model. The record is from RNAcentral.
UGGGGAAUAUUGCACAAUGGGCGAAAGCCUGAUGCAGCAACGCCGCGUGAGUGAUGAAGGUCUUCGGAUUGUAAAGCUCUGUCUUUUGGGACGAUAAUGACGGUACCAAAGGAGGAAGCCACGGCUAACUACGUGCCAGCAGCCGCGGUAAUACGUAGGUGGCGAGCGUUGUCCGGAUUUACUGGGCGUAAAGGGUGCGUAGGCGGAUGUUUAAGUGAGAUGUGAAAUACCCGGGCUUAACUUGGGUGCUGCAUUUCAAACUGGAUAUCUAGAGUGCAGGAGAGGAGAAUGGAAUUCCUAGUGUAGCGGUGAAAUGCGUAGAGAUUAGGAAGAACACCAGUGGCGAAGGCGAUUCUCUGGACUGUAACUGACGCUGAGGCACGAAAGCGUGGGUAGCAAACAGGAUUAGAUACCCUGGUAGUCCACGCCGUAAACGAUGAGUACUAGGGUGUAGGAGGUAUCGACCCCUUCUGUGCCGCAGUAAACACAU